This 457-nucleotide ribosomal RNA is filed under the name uncultured bacterium. RNAcentral's name for it is "bacterial SSU rRNA". It matches the Rfam family "Bacterial small subunit ribosomal RNA", at positions 338 to 795 of the family's 1533-position model. The record is from RNAcentral.
CCUACGGGUUGCAGCAGUGGGGAAUCUUGCGCAAUGGCCGAAAGGCUGACGCAACGACGCCGCGUGUGGGAUGAAGCUCUUCGGGGUGUAAACCACUGUUGCCCGGGACGAACGGGCGGAUUUAUCCGCCGUGACGGUACCGGGUGAGGAAGCACCGGCUAACUCCGUGCCAGCAGCCGCGGUAAUACGGAGGGUGCGAGCGUUGUCCGGAAUCACUGGGCGUAAAGGGCGCGUAGGCGGCUCGGUAAGCGUGUGGUGAAAGCUCGGGGCUCAACCCCGAGUCGGCCGUGCGAACUGUCGAGCUUGAGCACUGUAGAGGCAGGUGGAAUUCCGGGUAUAGCGGUGGAAUGCGUAGAGAUCCGGAAGAACACCGGUGGCGAAGGCGGCCUGCUGGGCAGUUGCUGACGCUGAGGCGCGACAGCGUGGGGAGCAAACAGGAUUAGAUACCCCAGUAGUC